UACGAAGGGGGCUAGCGUUGCUCGGAAUUACUGGGCGUAAAGCGCACGUAGGCGGGUCAUUAAGUCGGGGGUGAAAUCCUGGAGCUCAACUCCAGAACUGCCUCCGAAACUGAUGAUCUUGAGUUCGGGAGAGGUGAGUGGAACUGCGAGUGUAGAGGUGAAAUUCGUAGAUAUUCGCAAGAGCACCAGUGGCGAAGGCGGCUCACUGGCCCGACACUGACGCUGAGGUGCGAAAGCGUGGGGAGCAAACAGG
RNAcentral lists this ribosomal RNA (253 nucleotides) under uncultured bacterium. RNAcentral describes it as "partial 16S ribosomal RNA". It matches the Rfam family "Bacterial small subunit ribosomal RNA", at positions 524 to 776 of the family's 1533-position model. The record is from RNAcentral.